This 253-nucleotide ribosomal RNA is filed under the name uncultured bacterium. RNAcentral's name for it is "partial 16S ribosomal RNA". It matches the Rfam family "Bacterial small subunit ribosomal RNA", at positions 524 to 776 of the family's 1533-position model. The record is from RNAcentral.
UACGUAGGGUGCAAGCGUUGUCCGGAAUUAUUGGGCGUAAAGAGCUCGUAGGCGGCUUGUUGCGUCGGCUGUGAAAACCCGGGGCUCAACCCCGGGCCUGCAGUCGAUACGGGCAGGCUAGAGUCCGGUAGGGGAGACUGGAAUUCCUGGUGUAGCGGUGAAAUGCGCAGAUAUCAGGAGGAACACCGGUGGCGAAGGCGGGUCUCUGGGCCGGAACUGACGCUAAGGAGCGAAAGCGUGGGGAGCGAACAGG